UAGGGAAUCUUCCGCAAUGGACGCAAGUCUGACGGAGCAACUCCGCGUGAGUGAAGAAGGAUUUCGGUUCGUAAAACUCUGUUGUUAGAGAAGAACAGCGCAUAGAGUAACUGUUAUGCGUGUGACGGUAUCUAACCAGAAAGCCACGGCUAACUACGUGCCAGCAGCCGCGGUAAUACGUAGGUGGCAAGCGUUGUCCGGAUUUAUUGGGCGUAAAGCGAGCGCAGGCGGUCAAUUAAGUCUGAUGUGAAAGCCCCCGGCUCAACCGGGGAGGGUCAUUGGAAACUGGUUGAACUGAGUGCAGAAGAGGGGAGUGGAAUUCCAUGUGUAGCGGUAAAAGGCGUAGAUAUAUGGAGGAACACCAGUGGCGAAGGCGACUCUCUGGUCUGUAACUGACGCUGAGGCUCGAAAGCGUGGGUAGCAAACAGG
RNAcentral lists this ribosomal RNA (429 nucleotides) under Bacteroidota bacterium. RNAcentral's name for it is "Bacteroidetes bacterium partial 16S ribosomal RNA". It matches the Rfam family "Bacterial small subunit ribosomal RNA", at positions 355 to 776 of the family's 1533-position model. The record is from RNAcentral. Lineage: Bacteria; Pseudomonadati; Bacteroidota.